This is a long non-coding RNA of Bufo bufo (common toad), 518 nucleotides long. RefSeq lists it as uncharacterized. Lineage: Eukaryota; Metazoa; Chordata; Amphibia; Anura; Bufonidae. The record is from RefSeq and is a predicted model, not a curated record. The transcript has 3 exons.
ACAAUGUCAGGAGUACAGUGCAGUGUAUAGUGGAGGAGCAGUACAAUGUCAGGAGUACAGUGCAGUGUAUAGUGGAGGAGGAGUACAGUGCAGUCUAUAGUGGAGGAGCAGUACAAUGUCAGGAGUACAGUGCAGUGUAUAGUGGAGGAGCAAUACAAUGUCAGGAGUGCAGUGCAGUGUAUAGUGGAGGAGCAGUACAAUGUCAGGAGUGCAGUGCAGUGUAUAGUGGAGGAGCAGUACAAUGUCAGGAGUACAGUGCAGUGUAUAGUGGAGGAGCAGUACAAUGUCAGGAGUACAGUGCAGUGUAUAAAGGAGAAGCAGUACAAUGUCAGGAGUACAGUGCAGUGUAUAGUGGAGGAGCAGUACAAUGUCAGGAGUACAGUGCAGUAUAUACAGGAGGAGCAGUACAAUGUCAGGAGUACAGUGCAGUCUAUAGUGGAGGAGCAGUACAAUGUCAGGAGUGCAGUGCAGUGUAUAGUGGAGGAGCAGUAUAAUGUCAGGAGUACAGUGCAGUAUAU